GGCAGCGUACCCGCCUGCGGCGGGAGGGGACUCAUAAGCCCUUGGUCGUGGGUUCGAAUCCCUCCGCUGCCACCA
Molecule: transfer RNA, 75 nt
Filed under: Chloroflexota bacterium
Lineage: Bacteria; Bacillati; Chloroflexota
Description: tRNA-Met
Rfam family: tRNA
About the family: Transfer RNA (tRNA) molecules are approximately 80 nucleotides in length. Their secondary structure includes four short double-helical elements and three loops (D, anti-codon, and T loops).
Source: RNAcentral